RNAcentral lists this non-coding RNA (148 nucleotides) under Gorilla gorilla gorilla (western lowland gorilla). Lineage: Eukaryota; Metazoa; Chordata; Mammalia; Primates; Hominidae. The record is from Rfam by way of RNAcentral.
GCCGGGCAUAGUGGCGUGUGCCUGUAAUCCCAGCUACUUGGGAGGCUGAGUCAGGCGAAUUGCUUGAACCCAGGAAUUGGAGGUUUCAGUGAGCUGAGAUUGCGCCACUGUACUCUAGCCUGGGUGACAGAGUGAGACUCCAUCUCAA